Molecule: microRNA precursor, 106 nt
Filed under: Podarcis lilfordi (Lilford's wall lizard)
Lineage: Eukaryota; Metazoa; Chordata; Lepidosauria; Squamata; Lacertidae
Source: RNAcentral
UACGUGUGUGUGUGUGUGUGUGUGUGUGUGUAUAUAUAUAUAUAUAUAUAUACACGUGUGUGUGUAUAUAUAUAUACACACAUACACAUACACACACACACACACA